This 295-nucleotide ribosomal RNA is filed under the name uncultured bacterium. RNAcentral describes it as "partial 16S ribosomal RNA". It matches the Rfam family "Bacterial small subunit ribosomal RNA", at positions 45 to 334 of the family's 1533-position model. The record is from RNAcentral.
AUGCCUUACACAUGCAAGUCGAACGGCAGCAUGACGUGUAGCAAUACACGUUGAUGGCGAGUGGCGAACGGGUGAGUAAUAUAUCGGAACAUGCCCUGUAGCGGGGGAUAACGCGUCGAAAGAUGUGCUAAUACCGCAUACGCUCUACGGAGGAAAGCGGGGGCCGCAAGGCCUCGCACUAUAGGAGUGGCCGAUAUCGGAUUAGCUUGUUGGCGGGGUAACGGACCACCAAGGCGACGAUCCGUAGCUGGUCUGAGAGGAUGAUCAGCCACACUGGAACUGAGACACGGUCCAG